GUAAAAACGAUGAGCAAGAAGAGUAAAUGCAGGUUGAAAUCACAGAGAGUCGCCAAAGGUGGGAAUGCGAUAUGGAUGCUUGUAUUGAAUGGACUUGUGAGUGCAACCUGAAAUAUAGUAGGAGUUGUCGGGAAACGCACCCGUUAUCAAAGCGUCAUGUAUGUUUGUACAUGUAAUUAAGCGAGCAUUUUGCUAAUUUAGGUGGUACCGCAGGAGAAUUACCUCUUGUCCUAUUU
This 236-nucleotide non-coding RNA is filed under the name Pseudobacteroides cellulosolvens. RNAcentral's name for it is "T-box sequence". It matches the Rfam family "T-box leader". From Rfam's summary of the family: Uncharged tRNA acts as the effector for transcription antitermination of genes in the T-box leader family. The record is from RNAcentral. Lineage: Bacteria; Bacillati; Bacillota; Clostridia; Eubacteriales; Oscillospiraceae.